UAAAAGUUUUAAAGAGACAAUCCAGACUCUUCAUCCUCAUCAAGACCAGAAGUGUAGAUAGUAUAGAGAGCCCAAAUCAAACCAAAGACACCAAAAAGGAUCCAACCAAGAAGGUUGUUGCUGAGCCCAAAUGGAAGUCCAGUUCCUUCGGUGCUCAUUCUCUCAUCCACAAGAGCCAUUGCUGUUGGAUUUGAGAUGCUUGCUGCUACUGCUGCUGCCAUCAGUGAUUCUCCUAUUCCCAAGUUUGAUUCCCCUUUUGGCUUUCCCUCCAUUGAGCAUCUCACCUUUCCAACCUUGCCAAAUGAUGGCAAUCCAACAACAGAUGAGGGACGAGAUACAGAUCCCUUUUGCACGAGGGACACAAUUGCCACCGAAGAGGUUGCAGAGAUGGUUG
This 394-nucleotide long non-coding RNA is filed under the name Capsicum annuum. Its description in RNAcentral is "long non-coding RNA (CANN_LNC015013)". The record is from RNAcentral. Lineage: Eukaryota; Viridiplantae; Streptophyta; Magnoliopsida; Solanales; Solanaceae.